GACGAACGCUGGCGGCGUGCUUAACACAUGCAGGUCGAACGGAAAGGCCCUGCUUUUGUGGGGUGCUCGAGUGGCGAACGGGUGAGUAACACGUGAGUAACCUGCCCUUGACUUUGGGAUAACUUCAGGAAACUGGGGCUAAUACCGGAUAGGAGCUCCUGCUGCGUGGUGGGGGUUGGAAAGUUUCGGCGGUUGGGGAUGGACUCGCGGCUUAUCAGCUUGUUGGUGGGGUAGUGGCUUACCAAGGCUUUGACGGGUAGCCGGCCUGAGAGGGUGACCGGCCACAUUGGGACUGAGAUACGGCCCAGACUCCUACGGGAGGCAGCAGUGGGGAAUAUUGCACAAUGGGCGGAAGCCUGAUGCAGCAACGCCGCGUGCGGGAUGACGGCCUUCGGGUUGUAAACCGCUUUCGCCUGUGACGAAGCGUGAGUGACGGUAAUGGGUAAAGAAGCACCGGCUAACUACGUG
Molecule: ribosomal RNA, 468 nt
Filed under: uncultured bacterium
Lineage: Bacteria
Description: partial 16S ribosomal RNA
Rfam family: Bacterial small subunit ribosomal RNA
Source: RNAcentral